This 289-nucleotide ribosomal RNA is filed under the name uncultured bacterium. RNAcentral describes it as "partial 16S ribosomal RNA". It matches the Rfam family "Bacterial small subunit ribosomal RNA", at positions 333 to 638 of the family's 1533-position model. The record is from RNAcentral.
UUAUGCCUACGGGGGGCAGCAGUCGGGAAUAUUGCGCAAUGGAGGAAACUCUGACGCAGUGACGCCGCGUAUAGGAAGAAGGUUUUCGGAUUGUAAACUAUUGUCGUUAGGGAAGAAAAACGACAGUACCUAAGGAGGAAGCUCCGGCUAACUACGUGCCAGCAGCCGCGGUAAUACGUAGGGAGCGAGCGUUAUCCGGAUUUACUGGGUGUAAAGGGAGCGCAGGCGGUUCUGCAAGUCUGAUGUGAAAGCCCGGGGCUCAACCGCGGGACUGCAUUGGAAACUGCGG